CAAGCGGUGGAGCAUGUGGUUUAAUUCGAUGCAACGCGAAGAACCUUACCUGGUCUUGACAUCCACGGAAGUUUUCAGAGAUGAGAAUGUGCCUUCGGGAACCGUGAGACAGGUGCUGCAUGGCUGUCGUCAGCUCGUGUUGCGAAAUGUUGGGUUAAGUCCCGCAACGAGCGCAACCCUUAUCCUUUGUUGCCAGCGGUCCGGCCGGGAACUCAAAGGAGACUGCCAGUGAUAAACUGGAGGAAGGUGGGGAUGACGUCAAGUCAUCAUGGCCCUUACGACCAGGGCUACACACGUGCUACAAUGGCGCAUACAAAGAGAAGCGACCUCGCGAGAGCAAGCGGACCUCAUAAAGUGCGUCGUAGUCCGGAUUGGAGUCUGCAACUCGACUCCAUGAAGUCGGAAUCGCUAGUAAUCGUGGAUCAGAAUGCCACGGUGAAUACGUUCCCGGGCCUUGUACACACC
This 465-nucleotide ribosomal RNA is filed under the name uncultured bacterium. RNAcentral's name for it is "bacterial SSU rRNA". It matches the Rfam family "Bacterial small subunit ribosomal RNA", at positions 926 to 1391 of the family's 1533-position model. The record is from RNAcentral.